RNAcentral lists this ribosomal RNA (30 nucleotides) under Beauveria bassiana. RNAcentral's name for it is "partial 28S ribosomal RNA". The record is from RNAcentral. Lineage: Eukaryota; Fungi; Ascomycota; Sordariomycetes; Hypocreales; Cordycipitaceae.
UUCUGAACGUGACCUCGAAUACAGGUAGAU